UCUAGCUUUCCUAUUGUCGUC
This 21-nucleotide non-coding RNA is filed under the name Arabidopsis thaliana (thale cress). The record is from RNAcentral. Lineage: Eukaryota; Viridiplantae; Streptophyta; Magnoliopsida; Brassicales; Brassicaceae.